AGCGAACGCUGGCGGCAGGCCUAACACAUGCAAGUCGAGCGGCAGCGCGGGGGCAACCCUGGCGGCGAGCGGCGGACGGGUGAGGAAUUCGUCGGAAUCUGCCUUUUUGUGGGGGAUAACGUAGGGAAACUUACGCUAAUACCGCAUACGUCCUACGGGAGAAAGUGGGGGACCGCAAGGCCUCACGCAGAAAGAUGAGCCGACGACCGAUUAGCUAGUUGGUGGGGUAAAGGCCCACCAAGGCGACGAUCGGUAGCUGGUCUGAGAGGAUGAUCAGCCACACUGGGACUGAGACACGGCCCAGACUCCUACGGGAGGCAGCAGUGGGGAAUAUUGGACAAUGGGCGCAAGCCUGAUCCAGCCAUGCCGCGUGUGUGAAGAAGGCCUUCGGGUUGUAAAGCACUUUUGUCCGGAAAGAAAUCCCUGGAGCUAAUACCUUCGGGGGAUGACGGUACCGGAAGAAUGAGCACCGGCUAACUUCGUG
Molecule: ribosomal RNA, 484 nt
Filed under: uncultured bacterium
Lineage: Bacteria
Description: partial 16S ribosomal RNA
Rfam family: Bacterial small subunit ribosomal RNA
Source: RNAcentral